This 73-nucleotide transfer RNA is filed under the name Ovis aries (sheep). RNAcentral describes it as "tRNA-Glu (TTC) (tRNA-Glu-TTC-29-1)". It matches the Rfam family "tRNA". Rfam says of the family: Transfer RNA (tRNA) molecules are approximately 80 nucleotides in length. Their secondary structure includes four short double-helical elements and three loops (D, anti-codon, and T loops). Further hydrogen bonds mediate the characteristic L-shaped molecular structure. tRNAs have two regions of fundamental functional importance: the anti-codon, which is responsible for specific mRNA codon recognition, and the 3' end, to which the tRNAs corresponding amino acid is attached (by aminoacyl-tRNA synthetases). tRNAs cope with the degeneracy of the genetic code in two manners: having more than one tRNA (with a specific anti-codon) for a particular amino acid; and 'wobble' base-pairing, i.e. permitting non-standard base-pairing at the 3rd anti-codon position. Lineage: Eukaryota; Metazoa; Chordata; Mammalia; Artiodactyla; Bovidae. The record is from Rfam by way of RNAcentral.
UCCCUGAUGGUCCAGUGGUUAGGACUUGGUGCUUUCACUGCCAUAGUCCCAGGUUCAAUCCCUGGUCGGGGAA